RNAcentral lists this unclassified non-coding RNA (358 nucleotides) under soil metagenome. RNAcentral describes it as "partial contains 5.8S ribosomal RNA, internal transcribed spacer 2, and large subunit ribosomal RNA". The stretch from base 1 to 120 matches the Rfam family "5.8S ribosomal RNA", at positions 35 to 154 of the family's 154-position model. The record is from RNAcentral.
GAUGAAGAACGUAGCGAAUUGUGAUAAGUAAUGUGAAUUGCAGAAUUCAGUGAAUCAUCGAAUCUUUGAACGCACAUUGCGCCCGUCAGUAUUCUGGCGGGCAUGCCUGUUCGAGCGUCAUUACGCCCCUCAAGUCCCCUGUGGACUUGGUGUUGGGGAUCGGCGAGGCUGGUUUUCCAGCACAGCCGUCCCUUAAAUUAAUUGGCGGUCUCGCCGUGGCCCUCCUCUGCGCAGUAGUAAAACACUCGCAACAGGAGCCCGGCGCGGUCCACUGCCGUAAAACCCCCCAACUUUUUAUAGUUGACCUCGAAUCAGGUAGGACUACCCGCUGAACUUAAGCAUAUCAAUAAGCGGAGGA